GAUGAACGCUGGCGGCGUGCCUAAUACAUGCAAGUCGAGCGAACAGACGAGGAGCUUGCUCCUCUGACGUUAGCGGCGGACGGGUGAGUAACACGUGGAUAACCUACCUAUAAGACUGGGAUAACUUCGGGAAACCGGAGCUAAUACCGGAUAAUAUAUUGAACCGCAUGGUUCAAUAGUGAAAGACGGUUUUGCUGUCACUUAUAGAUGGAUCCGCGCCGCAUUAGCUAGUUGGUAAGGUAACGGCUUACCAAGGCAACGAUGCGUCGCCGACCUGAGAGGGGGAUCGGCCACACUGGAACUGAGACACGGUCCAGACUCCUACGGGAGGCAGCGGUAGGGAAUCUUCCGCAAUGGGCGAAAGCUUGACGGAGCAACGCCGCGUGAGUGAGGAAGGUCUUCGAAUCGUAAAACUCUGUUAUUAGGGAAGAACAAAUGUGUAAGUAACUAUGCACGUCUGGACGGUACCAAAUCAGAAAGCAACGGCUAACUACGU
This 496-nucleotide ribosomal RNA is filed under the name uncultured bacterium. RNAcentral describes it as "partial 16S ribosomal RNA". It matches the Rfam family "Bacterial small subunit ribosomal RNA", at positions 28 to 506 of the family's 1533-position model. The record is from RNAcentral.